CGCGCGGUAGCUCAGCGGUAGAGCACCUGGUCGACAUCCAGGGGGUCCGUGGUUCAAUCCCACGUCGCGUGACCA
This 75-nucleotide transfer RNA is filed under the name Sulfitobacter sp. R18_1. RNAcentral describes it as "tRNA-Val". It matches the Rfam family "tRNA". Rfam says of the family: Transfer RNA (tRNA) molecules are approximately 80 nucleotides in length. Their secondary structure includes four short double-helical elements and three loops (D, anti-codon, and T loops). Lineage: Bacteria; Pseudomonadati; Pseudomonadota; Alphaproteobacteria; Rhodobacterales; Roseobacteraceae. The record is from RNAcentral.